AACUCAAUUUCCCUGUACAAGAAUACGCGCGAACCGUAUGGGUUGACAGGAAGCGUGCUGCUCGCUGACGCCGGUGUGUCUACAUGUUUGCGAUGCUCUCUACAAGCUACCAACACCGGAGCACACUACGAAUUGUGUUGACUGAUUGCACCCCUUCCAACAAUAAAGCCAGCAUCAGGACUCGCGGACUGCACGGCUGCUCUUGUACAGUCGGUGGCUUUGGGGAGUCCACCUGGAGGUCGGCGUGUGCAGCUUCCGAGGGGACACUGUGGGAGACAGCAGAGAGGGAUGAAACGGACAGUGGUCAGUAUUAAAAACACGAGGACAGGGCGAUGAUUGCAUCGAUGUUCAAAAUUUAUUUUGGUAAACGUUGGAAUUUUCAUUGGUAAGGUCACCGAAUUCCUGCCCCCAACCCUGCUCAAUGCGUUCCACCACGAAGCACUUUGUUUGAUUGAUGCUGCGAUGCUCAUUGAUUCCGACCAGCCAUCCUGUCAUUCAUUGGCUUCCCCAUCACUAAUGUAUAGUAUUACCACGGCCAUAGUUCUUAUAAAUUUAAUAUCUUGAUACCUCUACUAAUGUCAAGGACUCAAUUUACUAGGUUGACCGUUUCCUGAGCUCUACCAUGCACACGCAUUAUAUUAGAGGACAAACUAUUUAUCUUCCUCCUUUCCAUACUCUGACUAUCUUAUGAUCUUGUGUUUAAGUGUUGAGAUAAUAACAAAUAUACAGCCCUUUGUCAAUCUAUUACUAAGUGGAAAAUGCCUCCGCACUGCCAUGAAAGUCAUGGGAAGUGUUUUACCAUUCGUCACUGUUCUUGUCACUACGGGUGGGUGCACAAGGCUACCUGGGAUCUGUUCUAAAUAUCACUCGCCACUCAUGUUAGCCGUGGCUGAAAAUUCACAGUGCAGCAAAGAAACAAUUGUGUGACUGGUUCCGUCAUAUAAGUGUUUAAAACGUUUCAUCAUUGAAUUCUGGCUGCCACCUCCUCCCCCGUGUUGGCAAUGCCGUCUGCUACUUUUCAUCAGCGAGUCGUGGAACUCCCUGGGCUGUGGGCACGUGCUUGCUCUGGUGGCGAGGUCAUUAUCCGGAGCAGCGGCGGUGACAUUUGUGGUGGUGGCUGUGCUCACGGCAGUCAUGGUGGCAUCUUCCUUGCUGUGAACACAAGAAACAAAAAGCGGCAAAAUGUCAAAAGGCUGAACUCUGCAAUAGAAUGCAGAAUAAGGGGCAAGUAGCUAGUCGUAAUCAACUAUUUAUCACAGUUGAUUAUAGUGGAAUAAAUUAUGUUCACCAUAAUUUGUGUUUACAAUGUGAGAAAGGCUAUCGCAAUUGUUACAGCAAAGAACCAUAGCUAGCCACAACCACUCAAUAACCUCCACUAUCCACAACAACCAUGCCACAACCAUACAGCCCUUUCACGAUUGUUUAUCCCUGUGUUGUGUUCAUCACUCGUUACUUAACUUGCACUUCGGCCUGACUCCAGGGUUUCUGGCAACGUCAUGGCUCACCAACCACCCCCUUUUGAUCAAGGGUUUAAGCCGUUAUUGUGCCGAUCAUGUCAGAUCUUCACCAAUUUCUCUCUUCUCUGAGAAAACCAGACCAUUAUCGCUCGCUCGACGGGCUACGGAUGAAAACUCAAUGGGAGGGUUGGUCUGAUUCCGGGAUGACGUCUCAAAUCGCCUCUGUCUUAGGUGAGCACAGCCUUGGUGUCAAAAGGGAUACGUCAAUCCCAGCUCACUCUCAGCACCAUUCAUGUCCCUGUCACUGCUGCUGGAACGGCUGUCCGAGUUGUCCCAGCUCACGGCAUCCCACGGUGGACCAACGGCCAGCUCGUCCGUUUGGACAGCGGCGUCGACCUGCCCCUUGAUUGUGCCGUGCUAGCAUCCCGCUCCGCUAGCCGCGUGUCUGCUGAUUGUGCGUUUGUGCAGCUACAGUGGCAACUCAUCUGCAGAUUGUUCACUGCGCUUGCUUUUACUCACUCCGAGAGGACUUUCUUCUUCCGGGACUGCACCGUGACCGCCUCCUUUUCCACCUCCUGUCCCAAGCAGGUGCCCUGAGUCGACCCCGCCCUGGACUCUGGUAUGUCAAUUUCCAGAGUCCGUUCGUAGCCAAUGCGCAUGAAUUUAAGUUUAAUUGUUUUUUGCUGAUGUGGCUGCUGCACCUGCAAGUCUUUAACUGCUCCUUUUUAUUGUCGUCUACACAGGUUUUCCUGUGAAGUACCGCGUUGCUGUGAGUUCGACGAUCCAAUGGUCGCAUGUACAGCUUCCUAGGGGACACUGGGAUACAGCGGAGAGAGAUUAAACGGACAGUGGUCAGUAUUGGAAACAUAAGCAAAGCGAUGAUUGCAUCGAUGUUCAAAAUACCUUUUGGUAAACGUUAGAAUUUUCUUUGUUAUGGUCACCUAAUUCCUGCCCCAAACCCAGCUCAAUGGACCCACCACGAAGCAAUUUAAUUGAUUGCCGGCGACGAUCAUUGAUUCAUUCCAGCCAUCCUGUUGUUCAUUGGCUUCUUCAUCAAUAAUGGAUAGUUAUUACCACGGCCAUAGUUCUAAUAAAUUUUAUAUCUUGAUACCUCUGCUAAUGUCAAGGACUCAAUUCAUUAGGUUGACCGUUACGUACAUGUUAUGUAUAUCGUUUAUUGUUAAAUUUGAAUCGCAGUUCCUUUGAUUACUGUUGUUAGAUUGUUUUUACAGCUUUAUUUUGGUGUUUUUGAAAACAUGGUUAAGCCAUGUUUCUUGCG
This is a non-coding RNA of Petromyzon marinus (sea lamprey), 2736 nucleotides long. Lineage: Eukaryota; Metazoa; Chordata; Hyperoartia; Petromyzontiformes; Petromyzontidae. The record is from RefSeq and is a predicted model, not a curated record.